Molecule: ribosomal RNA, 301 nt
Filed under: uncultured bacterium
Lineage: Bacteria
Description: partial 16S ribosomal RNA
Rfam family: Bacterial small subunit ribosomal RNA
Source: RNAcentral
CAGCCGCCGCGGGAAUACGUAGGUGGCAAGCGUUGUCCGGAAUUAUUGGGCGUAAAGCGCGCGCAGGCGGAUCAGUCAGUCUGUCUUAAAAGUUCGGGGCUUAACCCCGUGAUGGGAUGGAAACUGCUGAUCUAGAGUAUCGGAGAGGAAAGAGGAAUUCCUAGUGUAGCGGUGAAAUGCGUAGAUAUUAGGAAGAACACCAGUGGCGAAGGCGACUUUCUGGACGGAAACUGACGCUGAGGCGCGAAAGCCAGGGGAGCGAACGGGAUUAGAUACCCCCGUAGUCCCUGUCUCUUAUACA